UUUAUGACAUCCAAAGCUAUAUUGUUGACAGUAGCAAAUUGAAAUGUUCACAGUAAAAGUUCAGAUAUAAACUUGACACUAAGAUAAAACUUUGCUGACACCUCCCUAGCACUUAGGCACAUACCAAACAUACCCAGCCUUGUAUUUGCUUUAAGCUUAGUAAUGGUUUUUCCUUCCAAUUUUUUAAAAUUUAAUUCUCAUAUAAGGAAAAGUACCCAAAACAAAUGAGCAACUAAUAAAAUCUAACAACAUAGUCAGUUUUUUGGGUUUUUUUGUUUUUGUUUUGUUUUUUUGGUUUUUCGAAACAGGGUUUCUCUGUGUAGCCCUGGCUGUCCUGGAACUCACUUUGUAGACAGGCUGGCCUCGAACUCAGAAACCCACCUGCCUCUGCCUCCCGAGUGCUUGGAUUAAUGGCGUGCACCACCACGCCUGGCAACAUAGUCAGUUUUAUGGGCAAAAUUUAGUAUUGCCAGCACCCUAAAAGCUUGCUCCUGCUCACUGCCAACCUCCCUCUUCCUCUCUUUAAGGUGACUUGUAUCCUGAUUCCUAAUGCCACAGUUGAGUCUCAAUUGUUCUUGACCUUUAGACAAACAGAUUCACAGAAUGUUUGACUUGAUUUUUGUCUUAUUUUGGUGAAAAAAUAUUAGGAUUAGGGAGAAUCUUCACUGUUGUCCAAAACUGCUUAGCUUAGUGAUCCAUGUCUUAGUGCUAUACAGUGAUUCAUUCUGAUCUGUGGGUUUUAAGUAGUUCCCAUUGUUGUCCUGCUGUGAAGAAUGCUGUUUAUUCUCUGUUCAUACUCUCUAGGCAGAUGUAGUCUUAAUGACUAUACAAUAUAUUCUUAGUAGACUCUGUGGCUCAACCCUUAAAAAAAAUGGUGUGGUGGUAAGUUGGUUUCUAGCCCUGGAGGUGUUCUCACUGCUCAUCCUUGCCAUUAUCUGUUCAAUUCAGCUCUGUUUUUCACAUUACAAUAACUAUGUGCUUAUAACUUGAUAGAUAGUUUAUAGCUUAUAGCUUAUAGUUUGUACUUUGAUGACUAUGAAUGGGCUAAGGCACCCUCUGUGCGCUAACCCUCUUGACAGUUACCAGUUUGGAUUCCUUGCUCAUUUUAUAGUAGAUUUCCUUUUUUGUUUACAAUUUCUACAAACAUUCUCUUCUACAUCCUGGGUAUAGAGUAACUUGUCUGUUUUAAAGUUAUUUUUGAUGAGUAGAAAUUCUUAACUAAAAAGUUUUUUUUUUAAUCUUUUCCUACUAUAGUUCAUUUACAGUCUAUUUGCAUUAACUUUUCUGUGAUAAUAGUAUUUUUCCUACUCUGUUCCCUUAGUAACCUCAUACUGUUUUCUAUUCUUUUUACUGUUACACCAGAUGAUAUAAGUGUCAGUGUGUUCACACAUUAAUGUUGUGUUAUUGCAGGCCAUGUGAAGAACUUGAACUAUUCAAGUUUCAUUUACUCAUCACGAAAUUUUAUUUACCUAUUGUGCUGUCAAUCCUACAUUGUUUUACUGUCAGUUACUAAAAUCAGUGUUUAAUCUCACGUGUGUCUAUUUGUGCUUGCUGCUCUUUCUUUCAUCCUACGUUUCUGUGUGUCCAUGUGGCUAGUGUACUUUGUGGUUUUGAGGGCUUUGUUUAGUUGUUUAGGAGUUUGAUUUUGUUUGGUACAUCAGACACCGUUAUUACCUUAAAGUGAUGGAGAUCUCAAUUUUUGUUCAUCUGAAAGUCCAAGACUUCAAUUUCAGAAAUAUAGUUUGGAUUGGCAGCUGCUUUCCUUCAGCAUUUUGAAGUAGCAUCUGUUGUUUUCUGGCUCCCAUUGUCACAAUUGAGACAUGAACUGUACACUUACUAUUCUUUGCACUGCCUCUGCUGAUAGCUGCAGUUGGGACCUUUGCCUUCUCAUGGUUUUCUGUUCUACUAGGUUUUAUAAGGUAUGAGGCUUGUAAUUUUGUUUCAUUUGUAGCUCUGGUUUACAUUUAUGGGUCAUAUUAAAAUAGAUUGAUUUUCCUUCAGUUUUGGAAUAUUCUGUAUAGUUAGUUUUUUAUUUGCCCGUUUCUGGCAUCAGUUUUGGGACUUUGGUUUUAUUUUGACUACUGUGCCUCUUUAGUCUCACAUCUUCCUGCAGGUUAUCUUGUUGUCUUGCUGUUCUCCAAGUAUUGUCAUUCGUCUUGACAAUCUUCUCUUCAGCUGUGUCUAGUCAGUGAAACCUGUCCCUGAAUUCCUACUCUACUUCAAUGUUUCUCAGUUUUACUGUUUCUUUUCUUUCAUAUUCUCUGUUAAAGUAGCAGUAUUGAUUUUGUAUCUUUGAACAUGUUUAAAAUGGGUAUUUCAAAGUUUCUCUGUAGUGACUCUGUGAUCUGGGUCUUCCCUGGUUCUCUCUCUGAAUCAUCUUUUACAUCUUGUCAUGUUCACAUUCAUUUUUUUCUUGAUAUACAUUGAUGUUUUUAUUUUUUGGUUUUUUGUUUAUUUGUUUGUUUAGAGAAUAGUGAAAAAGUUACCUCCCCCCAAAAAAUUGGAAAUUUAUGACUAAUAUUCUGUUCUUCCAAAAAGGAUUGAACCUUGCUCAGUUAAGGCAAUCACAAUACAUGCAUAUACAUAAGUAAGUAUAUAUGAAUGAGUACACUGUAGCUGUCUUCAUAUACGCCAGAAGAGGACAUUAGAUCCCAUUGCAGAUGGUUUUGAGCCAUCAUGUGGUUGCUGGGAAUUGAAUUCAGGACCUCUGGAAAAGCAGUUAGUAUUCUUAACCCCUGAACCAUCUUGCCAGCCCCAAUCCCAAAUGUUUUUAAUUCAUUUCCAGGGUUUUAGGCUUUCUUCCAAUCUACAUUUGGUUCAUUAUUAUCUUCAGAAUAAAGUCAGAGUCCCAAAGCAAAACAUUAACGUUUAAUUGGAUUUAACUCUAUUUUAUUCUUGUUACCUCAAAGCACUGAAGGGCUUAUUUCAGCUCCCUGUGCCCUGUCUGCCCUUGCUAACUGUCAUCAGCAGGGAGAGUCUCCUAGUUGCCUCAGAAUUUCGUUAUCAUCACAUUACUUUAAGAAAAGAUCCUCACAGAUUUCUCACGUAUUCUUACAACAUUGUUCUCACUUAGCAUGGUUGGUGUUGUUUUGUUUCCAGCUGGCAUUGAGGCCACGAACCAUUCCUGUGACCAGUGUACAAAUGCCACUCACUUACUGUGGAAAGGGAUGUGAUCUAGACCCAGAGAGCUCUCAAACUGGCUUCAGGGCUUUCCCUGUUAGAAAAAUUGGGUUGCACUAACAGUUACAGACAGGUGUAGUUAAAUGCUACUAUCUAUGGUCAGACAGACUGACUUUUGAACACUGACAUUCUUGCCUGAUGAUUUAGACUAGGUAAGCCAAUUAAUCUCUUCAAGAAAAGGUGACAGCCUUCAACUUUGUAAAUUAAAAACUUACACACAGGUAUUUUCAUACCAAUGAUUAAAGUCUUGGUGACAAAUUCAGAUUCAAAGAGAGAAAAAGUGAAUAUGAGGCCAGAAAGUAUCCCCAUGACACAGCUACCUUAGUUUUAGCUAAUUUUUACCAUUUGAGAAAGAAUUCCAGUUUUACUUACUCUCCCACUAUUUACUCCUGUGAGUAUAUCUGCUACUUCUUUAAUAGUUUUUAUUUCUUUUUUUUUGUUGUUUUUUUUGUUGUUGUUUUUUGUUUUUGUUUUUGUUUUUUUUUUUUGUUUUUUUUUUUUUUUCCGAGACAGGGUUUCUCUAUAUAGCCCUGGCUGUCCUGGAACUCACUUUGUAGACCAGGCUGGCCUCGAACUCAGAAAUCCGCCUGCCUCUACCUCCCAAGUAAUGGGAUCAAAGGUGUGCGCCACCACACCCAGUUUUUAUUUCUUAAAAAGAAAAUAAGAGUUAUAAAUCAAAAAAAUUGCAGGCCAACUUAAUUAUUAGUAAGUAAAUGGGCCCCACAGUGCCUUUGUCACCUGGCUAGCCUAAGUUGUCAGGUGCUGUAGCUUCCUUCAGUAGAACAAACCAUGAACAGAAGGAGAUUGUGUGCUGUAACUUGUGCACAUGCCUGUGAGAUAAUGAACCAGUUUCAGCAGCCAUAGACAAUCACUUUCUGUAUUCUGUAUUCCCAUGAGAAACACAGCUGUUAGAAACUCAUUCCCUGGGGUCAGGGCUGAACAGUCUAUGAAUUUAUCAAGUCUUAAAAGGGAGUGGGGGGACAGUUUGAUU
This 4171-nucleotide long non-coding RNA is filed under the name Mus musculus (house mouse). Its description in RNAcentral is "long non-coding RNA chr11:54664332-54668503". Lineage: Eukaryota; Metazoa; Chordata; Mammalia; Rodentia; Muridae. The record is from RNAcentral.